Molecule: non-coding RNA, 585 nt
Organism: Pelobates cultripes (western spadefoot toad)
Lineage: Eukaryota; Metazoa; Chordata; Amphibia; Anura; Pelobatidae
Source: the annotation of a GenBank genome assembly
ACACAAAGACACACACACACACAUCACCCCACACACACACACACCAUCCCCCACACACACCACCCCCCACACAAACAUCACCCCACACACAUCAACCCACCCACACAUCACGCCACACACACACACCACCCCACAUCACCCCACACACACAUAACCCCACACACAGACCUAUUGAUUGAUUGUCGAUGUCUUGGAAUUGUAGCGUGGAAUUGAGGUAGUGUAUCUAGAAGGAAGCAUUGGGGUUCUUGAGGAAGCUGAAUGGAUGGGAGCUUGCUGAUGAGGUUGUGCACUUUCGCCCAAAAAGUUCUGAGGAAAAUGCAAUCCCAGAAGAUAUGGGUCAAGGAUCCUGUGACGAGACCAAUCUCGCCACAUUGCAUUGGAGAAGCCUGGUUGCUCGCCUGCUGCCUUUGGACUAUGGCCCCCUGUUAAAAGACAUCUUUUUUUACCUGCAGAAAAGCUUCAUUCGUGCUUUUCUGCCUGGGGUUCGGUAGAUUUGUUUGAAUGUGUUAUACCACAGAUAGGAAUCCCAUGGAGCCCAUUCGUAUGAAACUGACUGUAAAGACUUUGGCUCCAUGGCGAUUAAAC